AUACGGAAGGUCCGGGCGUUAUCCGGAUUUAUUGGGUUUAAAGGGAGCGCAGGCGGAGAUGCAAGCGUGACGUCAAAUUUCGGGGCUCAACCCCGUCUCGCGUCGCGAACUGCGUCCCUUGGUUGCGGGAAGGGGAGGCGGAACUCGGGGUGGAGCGGGGAAAUGCAUAGAUAUCACGGAGAACUCCGAUCGCGAAGGCAGCCUUCCGGCCCGUCAACGACGCUCAUGCUCGAAGGUGCGGGUAUCAAACAGGAUUAGAUCCCCUGGUAGUCCGCACAGUAAACGAUGGACACCCGCGGUUUGGCCUGUAUGGCUGAGCCGCCAAGCGAAAGCGUUAAGUGUCCCACCUGGGGAGUACGCCGGCAACGGUGAAACUCAAAGGAAUUGACGGGG
This 393-nucleotide ribosomal RNA is filed under the name uncultured bacterium. Its description in RNAcentral is "partial 16S ribosomal RNA". It matches the Rfam family "Bacterial small subunit ribosomal RNA", at positions 523 to 918 of the family's 1533-position model. The record is from RNAcentral.